UUAACAGUAAAAAGGUUUGUUCCUGAGAAAAACGGUCUAAUACUGUAAAAAACAGCACAUGGGGGCGGAGCAUCUUCAACGAGCCUCAUUCAAACUCCUGCAGAAAGCGCUGCGGUCAACCGAAGGAAUCUCUUCGUCUGCGUGUGCUAAAGAAGGAAACUGUUCAAGGCUCUAAGGACCUUUGAGAUGACUGAAAUCGUUUGGCGAAGUGAUAUGGAACUGUAAUGCGGUCAAAUAAAUCCUCAAGAUGCCUGGAACUACUGCCUUGAACAGCUGUAGUAUAAACAGACCUGGGCGUGUUGACCAGUUUCAUCAGACCUCUUUCCAGAUCUAUCCAAAGUUGGUGUAAUGUAAUCUUUUCUAAAGGUUAAAGGAUUAGUUCACUUUCAAAAAAAUUUUUCCUAAUAAUUUACUCACCCCC
Long non-coding RNA from Megalobrama amblycephala (Wuchang bream), 421 nucleotides. RefSeq lists it as uncharacterized. Lineage: Eukaryota; Metazoa; Chordata; Actinopteri; Cypriniformes; Xenocyprididae. The record is from RefSeq and is a predicted model, not a curated record. The transcript is spliced from 3 exons.